This 198-nucleotide ribosomal RNA is filed under the name uncultured bacterium. RNAcentral's name for it is "partial 16S ribosomal RNA". It matches the Rfam family "Bacterial small subunit ribosomal RNA", at positions 328 to 539 of the family's 1533-position model. The record is from RNAcentral.
ACGCUCGACACCUACUGGAGGCAGCAGUGGGGAAUAUUGCACAAUGGGGGAAACCCUGAUGCAGCGACGCCGCGUGGAGGAAGAAGGUCUUCGGAUUGUAAACUCCUGUUGUUGGGGAAAAAGNGGAUGGUACCCAACAAGGAAGUGACGGCUAACUACGUGCCGGCAGCCGCGGUAAUCUGAGCGGGCUGGCAAGGC